This 274-nucleotide ribosomal RNA is filed under the name uncultured bacterium. RNAcentral's name for it is "partial 16S ribosomal RNA". It matches the Rfam family "Bacterial small subunit ribosomal RNA", at positions 523 to 796 of the family's 1533-position model. The record is from RNAcentral.
AUACGGAGGGGGUUAGCGUUGUUCGGAAUUACUGGGCGUAAAGCGCACGUAGGCGGAUUAAAAAGUUAGAGGUGAAAUCCCAGGGCUCAACCCUGGAACUGCCUUUAAAACUAGUAGUCUAGAGUUCGAGAGAGGUGAGUGGAAUUCCAAGUGUAGAGGUGAAAUUCGUAGAUAUUUGGAGGAACACCAGUGGCGAAGGCGGCUCACUGGCUCGAUACUGACGCUGAGGUGCGAAAGCGUGGGGAGCAAACAGGAUUAGAAACCCUAGUAGUCC